GGAAUAUUGCACAAUGGGGGAAACCCUGAUGCAGCCAUGCCGCGUGUGUGAAGAAGGCCUUCGGGUUGUAAAGCACUUUCAGUGGGGAGGAAAGGUUUGCGGUUAAUACCCGUAAGCUGUGACGUUACCCACAGAAGCAGGACCGGCUCACUUCGUGCCAGCAGCCGCGGUAAUACGGAGGGUCCGACCGUUAAUCGGAAUUACUGGGCGUAAAGCGCACGCAGGCGGUUUGUUAAGCGAGAUGUGAAAGCCCCGGGCUCAAUCUGGGAAUCGCAUUUAGAACUGGCAGGCUAGAGUUUUGGAGAGGGGAGUGGAAUUCCAGGUGUAGCGGUGAAAUGCGUAGAUAUCUGGAGGAACAUCAGUGGCGAAGGCGACUCCCUGGUCAGUAACUGACGCUCAUGUGCGAAAGUGUGGGUAGCGAAC
This 423-nucleotide ribosomal RNA is filed under the name uncultured bacterium. RNAcentral's name for it is "bacterial SSU rRNA". It matches the Rfam family "Bacterial small subunit ribosomal RNA", at positions 358 to 773 of the family's 1533-position model. The record is from RNAcentral.